AACGAACGCUGGCGGCAGGCUUAACACAUGCAAGUCGAACGGUUGUAGCAAUACAGCAGUGGCGCACGGGUGAGUAACGCGUGGGAACAUACCUUAGAGUUCGGAAUAACAGCGGGAAACUGCUGCUAAUACCGGAUACUCCCUCCGGGGGAAAGAUUUAUCGCUCUAAGAUUGGCCCGCGUCAGAUUAGCUAGUUGGUGGGGUAACGGCCUACCAAGGCUCCGAUCUGUAGCUGGUCUGAGAGGACGACCAGCCACACUGGAACUGAGA
RNAcentral lists this ribosomal RNA (270 nucleotides) under uncultured bacterium. RNAcentral's name for it is "partial 16S ribosomal RNA". It matches the Rfam family "Bacterial small subunit ribosomal RNA", at positions 29 to 324 of the family's 1533-position model. The record is from RNAcentral.